ACACACCCCCGACAAUGCAAAAGCGAACUUAUUUAAUUAUCUGUUACUACUACCGAAACACCGGCCAGUCCGCGCA
Long non-coding RNA from Maniola jurtina (meadow brown), 76 nucleotides. RefSeq lists it as uncharacterized. The transcript is spliced from 3 exons. The record is from RefSeq and is a predicted model, not a curated record. Lineage: Eukaryota; Metazoa; Arthropoda; Insecta; Lepidoptera; Nymphalidae.